GUUACAUUGUCAUGGCAAAACAAAUUCAACUGAACUAAAAUGAUUAUACUAAAGUAAUCAUAUAUACAAAAUAUAAAAUGCAACCUAAAUGCACAACAAACCCCCAAACCUAAGGGAUGCAUUGUCCUCAAUGCAUGACUAAAUAUAUAAGAGAAAAACAAAAAGAAAAAAAAUUAACAAAUGCUAUAGUAAAAGAAAUUAAAUGCAAGAUGCAUGAAAGAGAGAAAAACUUAACUGGCUUGGACAAGCCUGUAGAUACUUCAUUCUGCCCGACAAGUGGAUUUUCAAGCACUAACCUUGUAUCGACAUUUCUUCUUUUUAAAGGUCAUUUCUUCC
Molecule: long non-coding RNA, 336 nt
Filed under: Gossypium raimondii (Peruvian cotton)
Lineage: Eukaryota; Viridiplantae; Streptophyta; Magnoliopsida; Malvales; Malvaceae
Description: long non-coding RNA (GRAI_LNC004018)
Source: RNAcentral